GACGAACCGUGCGAACGUUGUUCGGAUUCACUGGGCUUAAAGGGCGCGUAGGCGGGUUGUCAAGUCAGGGGUGAAAGCCUCCAGCUCAACUGGAGAAGUGCCUUUGAUACUGAUGAUCUUGAGGGAGGUAGGGGCAUGUGGAACUUCCGGUGGAGCGGUGAAAUGCGUAGAUAUCGGAAGGAACGCCGGUGGCGAAAGCGAAUCUCUGGACAGUUACUGACACUGAGGCACGAAGGCCAGGGGAGCAAACGGG
Molecule: ribosomal RNA, 253 nt
Filed under: uncultured bacterium
Lineage: Bacteria
Description: partial 16S ribosomal RNA
Rfam family: Bacterial small subunit ribosomal RNA
Source: RNAcentral